This 2496-nucleotide small RNA is filed under the name Pan troglodytes (chimpanzee). Its description in RNAcentral is "retained intron". Lineage: Eukaryota; Metazoa; Chordata; Mammalia; Primates; Hominidae. The record is from RNAcentral.
CCCUGCCCCUGGCGACCCCACGUCUCUGGCAUCCUUCCCUCUUCCCUCCCUCUCCUCCGGGCGCCCAGAAAAGUCCCCACCUCUCCCCGCUUAGGCAAACCAGCCUUCGGGAACGGGUGGCAGGCUCGGCCGGGAUGGCCGCUCUGACUCAGGACAUUCGCGCGGCGCUCUCCCGCCAGAAGCUGGACCACGUGUGGACCGACACGCACUACGUGGGGCUGCAAUUCCCGGACCCGUGAGUGCGCGCGCGGGCGGGGAGCGCGCGGGGAGGGGGACGCGGCUCGGGGCGCUCACCAGCCCCGCUCCCCAGGGCUCACCCCAACACCCUGCACUGGGUCGAUGAGGCCGGGAAGGUCGGAGAGCAGCUGCCGCUGGAGGACCCUGACGUCUACUGCCCCUACAGCGCCAUCGGCAACGUCACGGGAGAGCUGGUGUACGCCCACUACGGGCGGCCCAAAGACCUGCAGGACCUGCGGGCCAGGGGCGUGGACCCAGUGGGCCGCCUGCUGCUGGUGCGCGUGGGGGUGAUCAGCUUCGCCCAGAAGGUGACCAAUGCUCAGGACUUCGGGGCUCAAGGAGUGCUCAUAUACCCAGAGCCAGCGGACUUCUCCCAGGACCCACCCAAGCCAAGCCUGUCCAGCCAGCAGGCAGUGUAUGGACAUGUGCACCUGGGAACUGGAGACCCCUACACACCUGGCUUCCCUUCCUUCAAUCAAACCCAGUUCCCUCCAGUUGCAUCAUCAGGCCUUCCCAGCAUCCCAGUCCAGCCCAUCAGUGCAGACAUUGCCUCCCGCCUGCUGAGGAAGCUCAAAGGCCCUGUGGCCCCCCAAGAAUGGCAGGGGAGCCUCCUAGGCUCCCCUUAUCACCUGGGCCCUGGGCCACGACUGCGGCUAGUGGUCAACAAUCACAGGACCUCCACCCCCAUCAACAACAUCUUCGGCUGCAUCGAAGGCCGCACAGAGCCAGAUCACUACGUUGUCAUCGGGGCCCAGAGGGAUGCAUGGGGCCCAGGAGCAGCUAAAUCCGCUGUGGGGACGGCUAUACUCCUGGAGCUGGUGCGGACCUUUUCCUCCAUGGUGAGCAACGGCUUCCGGCCCCGCAGAAGUCUCCUCUUCAUCAGCUGGGACGGUGGUGACUUUGGAAGCGUGGGCUCCACGGAGUGGCUAGAGGGCUACCUCAGCGUGCUGCACCUCAAAGCUGUAGUGUACGUGAGCCUGGACAACGCAGUGCUGGGGGAUGACAAGUUUCAUGCCAAGACCAGCCCCCUUCUGACAAGUCUCAUUGAGAGUGUCCUGAAGCAGGUGGAUUCUCCCAACCACAGUGGGCAGACUCUCUAUGAACAGGUGGUGUUCACCAAUCCCAGCUGGGAUGCUGAGGUGAUCCGGCCCCUACCCAUGGACAGCAGUGCCUAUUCCUUCACGGCCUUUGUGGGAGUCCCUGCCGUCGAGUUCUCCUUUAUGGAGGACGACCAGGCCUACCCGUUCCUGCACACAAAGGAGGACACUUAUGAGAACCUGCAUAAGGUGCUGCAAGGCCGCCUGCCCGCCGUGGCCCAGGCCGUGGCCCAGCUCGCAGGGCAGCUCCUCAUCCGGCUCAGCCACGAUCGCCUGCUGCCCCUCGACUUCGGCCGCUACGGGGACGUCGUCCUCAGGCACAUCGGGAACCUCAACGAGUUCUCUGGGGACCUCAAGGCCCGCGGGCUGACCCUGCAGUGGGUGUACUCGGCGCGGGGGGACUACAUCCGGGCGGCGGAAAAGCUGCGGCAGGAGAUCUACAGCUCGGAGGAGAGAGACGAGCGACUGACACGCAUGUACAACGUGCGCAUAAUGCGGGUGGAGUUCUACUUCCUUUCCCAGUACGUGUCGCCAGCCGACUCCCCGUUCCGCCACAUCUUCAUGGGCCGUGGAGACCACACGCUGGGCGCCCUGCUGGACCACCUGCGGCUGCUGCGCUCCAACAGCUCUGGGACCCCCGGGGCCACCUCCUCCACUGGCUUCCAGGAGAGCCGCUUCCGGCGUCAGCUAGCCCUGCUCACCUGGACGCUGCAAGGGGCAGCCAAUGCGCUUAGCGGGGAUGUCUGGAACAUUGAUAACAACUUCUGAGGCCCUGGGGAUCCUCACAUCCCCGUCCCCCAGUCAAGAGCUCCUCUGCUCCUCGCUUGAAUGAUUCAGGGUCAGGGAGGUGGCUCAGAGUCCACCUCUCAUUGCUGAUCAAUUUCUCAUUACCCCUACACAUCUCUCCACAGAGCCCAGACCCCAGCACAGAUAUCCACACACCCCAGCCCUGCAGUGUAGCUGACCCUAAUGUGACGGUCAUACUGUCGGUUAAUCAGAGAGUAGCAUCCCUUCAAUCACAGCCCCUUCCCCUUUCUGGGGUCCUCCAUACCUAGAGACCACUCUGGGAGGUUUGCUAGGCCCUGGGACCUGGCCAGCUCUGUUAGUGGGAGAGAUCGCUGGCACCAUAGCCUUAUGGCCAACAGGUGGUCUGUGGUGAAAG